RNAcentral lists this ribosomal RNA (120 nucleotides) under uncultured bacterium. Its description in RNAcentral is "partial 16S ribosomal RNA". It matches the Rfam family "Bacterial small subunit ribosomal RNA", at positions 796 to 916 of the family's 1533-position model. The record is from RNAcentral.
CACGCUGUAAACGAUGGAUGCUAGCCGUCAGCAAGCAUGCUUGUUGGUGGCGCAGCUAACGCAUUAAGCAUCCCGCCUGGGGAGUACGGCCGCAAGGUUAAAACUCAAAGGAAUUGACGG